Molecule: unclassified non-coding RNA, 149 nt
Organism: Pongo abelii (Sumatran orangutan)
Lineage: Eukaryota; Metazoa; Chordata; Mammalia; Primates; Hominidae
Rfam family: Metazoan signal recognition particle RNA
About the family: The signal recognition particle (SRP) is a universally conserved ribonucleoprotein. It is involved in the co-translational targeting of proteins to membranes.
Source: Ensembl
GCUGGGCAUGGUGGCGCAUGCCUGUAGUCCCAGCUACUUGGGAAGCUGAGGCAGGAGAAUAGCUUGAACCCGGGAGGUGGAGGUUGCAAUGAGCCAAGAUCGUGCCACUGCCCUUCAGCCCGGGUGACAGAAGCAAGACUCUGUCUCUC